UACUGCGACCCCAGGUC
This 17-nucleotide ribosomal RNA is filed under the name Triaenophora rupestris. RNAcentral describes it as "partial 26S ribosomal RNA". Lineage: Eukaryota; Viridiplantae; Streptophyta; Magnoliopsida; Lamiales; Orobanchaceae. The record is from RNAcentral.